Dreissena polymorpha is the source of this 4445-nucleotide long non-coding RNA. RefSeq lists it as uncharacterized. The record is from RefSeq and is a predicted model, not a curated record. Lineage: Eukaryota; Metazoa; Mollusca; Bivalvia; Myida; Dreissenidae. The transcript is spliced from 5 exons.
AUUCUUUCGGAGGACCGGCUGAGGACGUGGAACUUUUGGAUAUAUAUAUAGAUAUAUGCAGAUUUUAUAAGAGAAAAGUACGACUCAAUAUGCUGCAAAUUCAAAAUGAAGUCUGCACACACUGUGACAUCCAUGUCGGGAGACAAGCCAUUAUUAUAGCUAAACAAUGCAGCAGCUUUGUUUGAUGUGGUAUGACAAUGAAAGCAAUUACUGAAAUUUAGCUGUUUUAUAGACGAAGAAGAAUUGGAGCUCAUGUAUAAUUGUGAAAAUGAAGAGAAUGCCACCAACAAGAGUUAACCAUACACAAUGAACAACAGAAAUGACUGCAGAAAAGGGACAAACGAAAAAAGGGACGUCGGCUUCAAAGGCAGCUUCUACACCUAAAACUAAAGCAACAAAAGCAGCAUCCACACCAAAAGCAACAUCAACAAUAGUGACUGCACAAAAGGGACAAACGUAACAAGGGACGUCAGCUCCAAAGGCAGCUUCUACACCUUAAACUAGGGAACUGAAAGCAGCGUCCACACCAAAAGCAACAUCAACAAUAGAGGGAUCCAAUGGGAGACACUUACAUGUUUUGCUCCAGUCAAACCUGCACGAUGGCCCUGGAGCAGUGCCAAUGAGAAUUCCUAACUAUGUUGAACACCUCAACAGUGACCAGCGUGAUGUGCUCCAGGACAUUCUUCAAAACAACAAGGAGCACAAAAGCACCAUGACGGAGCCAGCAAUGACUUUUGUGACAUGUGAACAAAUAGCAAACUUUUUUUUGUUUGUGUAAAUACAGUCAACAAGAAACUGGAUGUCUUUACACAGAAGAUUGACAAGCUAGAACAAUUGAUUUUAAGUUUAAGUAAAUCUGUCAGUAAAGUUCUAAACAAAAAUGAGUUGAUCGGUAAAGGGGAAUCUGACAUCUGUGUUAAUGUGUACAACAGUCAGGGUACGGAUGAUGUUCAAGCAUCAGAUGAUACGUUUGAAUUAGAUUGUAGUAGUUUGGAUGUUGGUUUUGUUGGUGCGGAUAGCUAUUCAAGUGUUUCAGCGGAAGGUAGUUUCGAUGUUGGUUGUUGGUGCGAAUAGUUAUUCAAGUGUUUCAGUGGACGGUCAGUGUUCUCGUGAUCUGGAUGUAGGAAUAGUUGGUGGUGAUCAGUCUGAUGUUCACAACAGUGAGCAGGAUGGAGAAAUGGUUUGUAUAGGUCGGUCACGUGUCAUUCAUAGUGGGAGGGCUGCAGGAAUAGUUGGUGGUAGUCAGUCUGGUGUUGUUGAUAGUGGUAGGGCAGCAGGAAUAGUUGGUGGUGGUCAGUCUGGUGUUGAUAGUGGUAGGGCAGCAGGAAUAGUAAGUGGUAGUCAGUCGGGUGUUGAUAGUGGUAUGGCAGCAGGAAUAGUUGGUGGUAGUCAGUCUGGUGUUUUUGAUAGUGGUAGGGCAGCAGGAAUAGUUGGUGGUAGUCAGUCUGGUGUUUUUGAUAGUGGUACGGCAGCAGGAAUAGUUGGUGGUAGUCAGUAUGGUGUUGAUAGUGGUAGGGCAGCAGCAAUAGUUGGUGGUGGUCAGUAUGGUGUUGAUAGCGGUAGGGCAGCAGGAAUAGUUGGUGGUGGUAGGUCUGUCAUUGUUGAUGAUGGUAGGGCUGUAGGAAUGGUCCGAGUGGUGUUAGGUUUACUUCUGGUGGCAGUCAGGGUUCUUGUGUCAGUGGAGGUAUUGGUGUUCCUAAUUACAGUAGCAGUAACUUUGAUAGGACACCUCUUAGCAUUAAUAGAUAAUUCGGCAAUCAGCCUUUGAUGAUAAUCCGUUGCGCUGAUGAUAUGGGUGCAGUUCCUCCUCACGCAGAAAUUGUUCUACAUAAAGAUGUUGUUGAUGAGUUGCUCUUGGAGCAUAAAGGUAGUAUUUCUAAAUUGUCUUGGAGCUUGGCCAAGCAAAUGUUUUCUGAAGAAGACCUGUAUUCAGGAACAUUCAAUGGGAAAGGUGGUCGAAAAGUGCUGUCGCCAAGAAGGAAGCAAUUAAUCCUCAAGGUUGUUGGUUAUGCUUUUCCAGGUAUCACAGGAAUUUCUGGUUAUGUUGCGGCCACAAUUAAUAAUGGAAUUAGAAACAAAAGGAAUUACAAAAAGAAAUUACCAUAUUAACUCAAAGAAUUGCCCACACGUUUAUACUGGAACAUUUAUGCGUUUUGAUGUUUGAAUCAAGACGGAUUUAAGUAAAUAUACAAAAAUACUUUGUCGUACAAAGUUUCAACUGAACUUUGGCAGUUUUUUUGUAUACUUACUUAAAUCUGUCUUGAUCCAAACAUCAAAACGCAUUCAUUUCUUUUUGUAAUUUCUUCUGUUUCUUGAAGAAUCUUCCAGAAAGUAUUUGUGUGAGACUUGUUUUAUUAUGCUCUUGGUGAGCAGGAUGAAGGACUAGUUGGUGGUAGUGAGUCUGGUGUUGAUAGUGGUUGGGCAGCAGGAAUAGUUGGUGGUGGUCAGUCUGGUGUUGAUAGUGGUUUGACAGCAGGAAUAGUUAGUGGUGGUCUGUCCGGUGUUGUUGAUAGUGGUAGGGCAGUAGGAAUAGUUGGUGGUAGUCAGUCUGGUGUUGAUAGUGGUAGGGCAGCAGGAAAGUUGUUGGUUCUCAGUAUGGUGUUCAUUGUGGUAGGGCAGCAGGAAUAGUUGGUGGUGGUAGGUCUGUAGGAAUUGUCAGUGGUGGUCAAUUUGGUGUUGUAGAUAAGGUCUAGGGCAGCAGGAAUAGUUGGUGGUGGUCAGUCUGGUGUUGAUAGUGGUUUGGCAGCAGGAAUAGUUGGUGGCAGUCAGUCUUGUGUUGUUUAUAGUGUUAGGGCAGCAGGUUUGUUGGUGAUGGUCAGUCUGGUGUUGAUAGUGGUUUGGCAGCAGGAAUAGUUGGUGGCAGUCAGUCUGAUGUUGUUUAUAGUGUUAGGGCAGCAGGUUUGUUGGUGGUGGUCAGUCUGGUGUUGAUAGUGGUAGGGCAGCAGGAAUAGUUGGUAGUCAGUCUGGUGUUGAUAGUGGUAGAGCAGCAGGAAUAGUUUGUGGUAGUCAUUCCGGUGUUGUUGAUAGUGCAGGGUUGAUACAGACCUUGAAAAGUGCUUGAAAAUCAAGGUUUACCUUGAAAAGUAUUUAAAAACAAUUUGGAGUGCUUAAAAGUGCUUAUUUUCAAACAUUGCCUUGAAAAGUGCUUAGAAAUUGCUUGACUUUGGCUAGAAAAGUGCUUGAAAAUGAAAUUAUCACAAUUAAAAGUGUUAAAACCAUAUUCAUUCUUUCCAAGCUUUCAGCUUAUUUCACAUCAUAUCAAUCCGAUCAUAUUGAUUGCUCCUCCUAUUGUAGGAUAUACCCACUGUUUGUUUAUAGUCUUUCAGGUUAGAGUUUUGACGGAAAAUAUGCAGCUGAUGCUUCAUAAUUAAAUAAGCACAACUAUGUUAAAUGACAUUGAGUUGUUAUGUAUGUUCAAAUACAUCUUUGUAAGCAUUGUCAUAAAAAGUACUUUAAAGACAUUUGAACGUUGCUAAUAGGAAAAGCGCUUGAAUUUCACUUUUUUACAUUGAAAAGAGCUUAAGAAGUGCUUGAAUUCCAUUUGGAAAUGUUUUUAUGAACCCUGUAGUGGUAGGGCAGCAGUUUUUUUUAUAUUUACUUAAAUCUGUCUUGAUCCAAACAUCAAAACGCAUAAGAGUUCAAGUAUCUUUCAGAAAGUAUUUUUGUGAGACUUUUUUUAUAUUGCCCCCCCCCCCUUAUGUUAGGGUGGCAUAUAGCAGUUGAACUCUGUCUGUCAGUCUGCCGUAAAACUUAAACAUUGGUUAUAACUUUUGCAAUAUUGAAGAUAGAAACUUGAUAUUUGGCAUGCAUGUGUAUCUCAUGGAGCUGCACAUUUUGAGUUGUGAAAGGUCAAGGUCAUCCUUCAAGGUCAAAGGUCAAAAAACAAAAUCCAAGGGCAUUAACAAGCUUUAAAGGGAGAUAAUUUCUAUACCUACCAAAUGAUAAAUAGAAACUUUAUUUCAAAGCGACACAGUAGGGGGCAUUGUGUUUCUGACAAACACAUCUUUUGUUUUAAUUUAUUAAUAAAUUGUUAGCCAAUGUACAUGAUGCAUAUUUAUUCAAACUGUUAAACCUUUGCAUGCUGGGAUAUUUGUCAUGUGCUAAAAUGUCGUCUGCUGAAUUUCUAAAAUUAGCCUUUUCUUAAAAAAAAAAUUCAAGGAAUACUAUUAGAAUAACAACAUGCUGGAUCCUGAUGAGACGCCACGUUCUGUGGCGUCUCAUCUGGAUCCAAACUGUUUGCAAAGGCCUUGAACAUUUGGUUAAAAGGGUUAAUGUGUUAUAUAAAAUGUGCAAGUAACAUUGUUCACAAAAAAGUCUGUAGGUUGCAGUUACUCAACAUGGUACAUGUAUGCAACAUUAUUUCAGCUUUUAUUUUGUUAUGUGGAUAGUGAGUGUUUCUUUGUUAAUAUGUUGAUGUAUUUAUUAUAAAUAAACGUAAUAUUUCA